This 523-nucleotide ribosomal RNA is filed under the name Adelocera sp. UPOL RK0065. RNAcentral's name for it is "partial 16S ribosomal RNA". It matches the Rfam family "Bacterial large subunit ribosomal RNA", at positions 1822 to 2610 of the family's 2925-position model. The record is from RNAcentral. Lineage: Eukaryota; Metazoa; Arthropoda; Insecta; Coleoptera; Elateridae.
CAUGUCCUUUUGAAAUUUAUUUGAGGUCUAAUCUGCUCAAUGAUUAAUUAAAUUGCCGCGGUAUUUUGACCGUGCAAAGGUAGCAUAAUAAUUAGUUUUUUUAUUGAAAACUGGAAUGAAUGAUUGGACGAGAAAAUUACUGUCUCUAUUUAAAUGUGGUUUGAAUUUAACUUUUAAGUAAAAAGGCUUAAAUUUUUUUGGAAGACGAGAAGACCCUAUAGAGUUUAACUUUUUCUUUAUUAAUCUUUUGUUGGAAUUUUUUGGGUUAAUUAUUAUAUUAGUUUGGUUGGGGUGACUAGAAAAUUUAUUAAACUUUUCUAAUUUUUAGUUAUUGAUUUAUAAAUUUUAAUUCUUAAUUUUUUAAUGAUAAAAUAAAUUACCUUAGGGAUAACAGCGUUAUUUCUUCUUAGAGUUCUUAUCAUAGGAGAAGUUUGCGACCUCGAUGUUGGAUUAAAGUUAAUGUUGGGCGUAGUAGCUUAAUUAUUAGGUCUGUUCGACUUUUAAAAUUUUACAUGAUCUGAGU